AAAAAAUCAGUUUUGUAGCUGAAAUGUUAUUUUGGAGGGAAAAACACUUAACGAAAUUUCACAUUCCCACCAAAAAUUUAUGUUUUCGUAGAAAUUGUUAUUUUUUUGCCCAAGUCAUUUUCAUUUUACAAAGAAAAAAAAAACAAAUUCAUUUUCUCUAUCAUCGUCUUCAUUGUUUAUUUGAAUCAAUCUAUCCAUUCCGAUUGAAGAAACACAUAUGGAUUGGUCUUGUUCAAAGUCGAACUCAGGAACCCUAAUCUGUCAAGCCGCUGGACUCUUCUUCUUCGUCAUACCCAAACUCCUCCAUACACGGCGAAUUGGCUCCUUCACCUUCCUCCGCUGCUUUUCACCACCAUCACAUUUGCCGCUUCUUCUUCAUAUUCCCUUUGUUUUAUCAAUCUCAAUUGCACAGAAGUCAAAACUCUAGAGGUCAUCGACCUAUAUCCUUGGACAAGGUAUGGCUCAGCGUGAAGACGUUUAUGACCUAGAUAGCCACUAGAUUCCAGGUUUUCUUCUACUCCAAAGCUCUAGUUUCAAUUGGGUCUAUAAAAAUCUCCCUUUUUUGUUGUUUAGUCACACUUGUUCAGUUUUCACGAGUUUCUUUUGUUCGAUUUCGCUGACAAAACCCCCUUGCUUUUGUUCAAUCGAUUUCGGCAUUACUGUUUAUGUUCAUUUCUAUUAAAAAUCUCUCGUUUCUGUUGUUUCCUCUUGACAAAACUCCACCUUGAUUUUGUUCACUUACUUUUGUAUUUGUUUACGGUAUGACCAGAACUGGAUUGUUUAUGUUGGAUUAGCAGAAAAAGGUUUGUCUUUUUGGUGUGUGAUUCUGAUUGUUUCUCUUUUAUUGAUUUAUGCAACUAGGAACUGAGUUCUUAUAUGAAUUUUCUGUGAAAAGUUUUACUAUUUUAAUGAUGCCUCAAGGAGUUGUACCAGUUCAGGGAUGGACCCCUACACCGUAAGUUGUGUCAUAAGGGUCGGCUCGGCUCAGUUUCUCCUUCAGGUACCGGAACUGAUCACAACAACUACAGAAACUUGCAGCAAAACGAGUCAGGCUAAUCUGUCCUCUUGGCGGGAUCUAUGCAUUGUUCUUCCUUGAAGGUCAUCACACGAGAAGAUGAGAACGGAAACGUCAAACUUGAGUGUCCCGACAUUAGUAAACAACAGUUUGCAGCUGGGAGAUUUCACAUUGACUCACGGAUGACAGCUACUAAAGAUGCUGAUCGCAUUGCUAGGCUUGAUGUUAUUCGUAUUAUCUAUCAAUGAGCCUACUGCUACUUCUGUGGUUUAUGCUUUUGAAAGGAAAAGCAAUUAAAUAAUUCUUGUCUUUGAUCUUGGUGGUGGUACCUUUGAUGUCUCUGGUACUCAAUUGCAAUGUAUCUCAAAUGGUGACAAAAACAAAAAGAAAAAAUAUCUAAUUUGGGGUAUAUGAUUAAAGAGCUAAUUUGCUGAAUAUACCAAAAAGGGUGAGAUACCAUAGAAUAGGGGGAAAAUAGUAAUGAUUGGGGGAAAAAAAAAUUGGAGGGAUAUAGUGUAUGGAGUGCAAAUAGGGGAUCUUCUCUAUGUAUAAAUGAUAAUUAAACUUUUAGAUUAAAUUUAAUAUUUGAAAUUAAAUAACGAACAAUAGAGUUUUAAGAUUUUUAGUUAGCUUUGGGUAUGAUUAAUUUGGGGUUUAAACCCUUACCCUAAACAUAAACAUUAAAAUUUCAAUAUUUUCAUAAUAUAAUUUCAAUCUUAAAUUUAAAUUUAAAAUUUAAUAAUUUUAAAAAUAGAAUCCCAAAUUUAAAUUCUAAACCUCAAACAUUAAAUCUUAAAUCUAUACCCUAAAUAUAAUACCCUAAAUCCCAAACUUAAAUCUUACAUACAAAGUCGUAAAUCUAUUUUUUAAUUUAUAAUAUAAACUUUAAACUUAUAUUCCAAAUAUAUUCUAAAACUCAAAUCAUACACUUAAUUAUAAAUCUUAACCCUAAACCCUAAACCACAUACUUCAUAUUAACCUACAUCAUAAAUCCUAAUUUAAAAUUUUCAAAAAUUUAAAUUGUACUCUAAUUUCUAACAUAUACACUAUAACUGUGAACUCUAAAUACAAAAUCUAAAUUUUAAAUUUAAUCAAACACAUACACUAUAAAUGCCAAACACCAAACCCUACAUCAAACCCUAUUCUUCAAAUUUAUACUCAAACUCUUAAUCAUUUUAUAAUAAUUCUUAAUUCUUUUUAAAGAAAAUCAUAAUUAUAUAUCAUAAUUGAUAUUUCUGCAAUUACUACUUGUAAUUACUGAAAUUAAACAUCACUUAAUCUUCAAACAUUAGUCUUUGUAAACAUAUAAAAUGAUAUGUCAAACUUAAUAAGAUUAAAUAAAAUAAAAUAAAAAAGAAAGAAUUGUGUGGUAUAAUCUCUAUCUCACCUCCUUUUACGUUAUUCUUCUUUUUUUAAUAGCAAUCCUAGUGAUUCUUUUCUAUUGGCUAAUACAAGAAAGUGGGGAUAACUUCUAUUUUAACUUUAACCGUUGAUGAAUUUAAUCUAAGGGACAUAAAUAUUUGCUUCUUUUUUUAAUGAUUUUCUCUCCUUCUCGAUCUCUGCUUUUUUUUUUGAUCAACAAUCUCUGCUCCUCUCCUCUUCUACCGUCGUAAACCUGAAAAAAAAUGAAAGCUCCAUCUUUUCUUCUUCUCUGGAAUAAACCCUAAGAAAACCCAGAAAAAUUCUCCAUCUUUUACGAAGGACUCCACUUCUCACCUCGUUGGCAGCUCAAACGAAAUCUCUCCUUUAUUUCCGAAUUUGUGUAAGUUGUUUCCGUUUGGACUCUCCUUAGAUUUGUUGAUAAGAUUCAUUUUCUAUUUGUCUACAUACUGAUUUGGAAUGUGGAGGAGACAUGAGAUUUUACGGUGGAGACAGAAGAUUUGGCAGAGGAGAAGGAGGCGCCACCACCUCCAUCUGUUGAUUCUAUCCUUAGAUCUGUUGAUGAAAUUCAUUUUGUAUGUGUUUACAUACUGCUUUGUUUAUUUAGAAUGUGGAGGACAUGAGAUUUUAUGGAGGAGACAGAAUAUUUGGCAGAGGAAAAGGAGGCGCGACAAGCAGAUUGAACGGUGGCUC
Brassica napus (rape) is the source of this 3088-nucleotide long non-coding RNA. RefSeq lists it as uncharacterized. The record is from RefSeq and is a predicted model, not a curated record. The transcript has 2 exons. Lineage: Eukaryota; Viridiplantae; Streptophyta; Magnoliopsida; Brassicales; Brassicaceae.